CACACGGGCGUGUGGCCCCACACGGGUAAGGCACAUGAGCGUGUGGGCCCGAUUUGUUUGAAAUGUUCUGCAAGGUUGCAUGGCUCGCCCAAGUCUACUGUGACCUAUUUGUAGGGUCAGUAAGCGUUACUUAGACCUUUAUACUCUAAUCUGAUAUUAAGAUGUAUGUAAAAGCAUGAUAAUUUAAGCAUGUGUAUCUGCUCUGAUUUGAUGACAAUGCUAUGAUUUGAUAUCUGCACAUGAGCAUGCCAUAUUAUUUAUGUUGCAUUGCAUUGGGUUGGGUUUGUAUUAAAGAGAAGGAAGAUUGAAAGGC
This 313-nucleotide long non-coding RNA is filed under the name Gossypium barbadense (sea-island cotton). RNAcentral describes it as "long non-coding RNA (GBAR_LNC000476)". Lineage: Eukaryota; Viridiplantae; Streptophyta; Magnoliopsida; Malvales; Malvaceae. The record is from RNAcentral.